This 492-nucleotide ribosomal RNA is filed under the name uncultured bacterium. Its description in RNAcentral is "partial 16S ribosomal RNA". It matches the Rfam family "Bacterial small subunit ribosomal RNA", at positions 29 to 507 of the family's 1533-position model. The record is from RNAcentral.
AGUGAACGCUGGCGGUAGGCCUAACACAUGCAAGUCGAACGGCAGCACAGUAAGAGCUUGCUCUUACGGGUGGCGAGUGGCGGACGGGUGAGGAAUACAUCGGAAUCUACUUUUUCGUGGGGGAUAACGUAGGGAAACUUACGCUAAUACCGCAUACGACCUACGGGUGAAAGCAGGGGAUCUUCGGACCUUGCGCGAUUGAAUGAGCCGAUGUCGGAUUAGCUAGUUGGCGGGGUAAAGGCCCACCAAGGCGACGAUCCGUAGCUGGUCUGAGAGGAUGAUCAGCCACACUGGAACUGAGACAAGGUCCAGACUCCUACGGGAGGCAGCAGUGGGGAAUAUUGGACAAUGGGCGCAAGCCUGAUCCAGCCAUACCGCGUGGGUGAAGAAGGCCUUCGGGUUGUAAAGCCCUUUUGUUGGGAAAGAAAAGCAGCAGGUUAAUACCCCGCUGUUCUGACGGUACCAAAAGAAUAAGCACCGGCUAACUUCGUG